Molecule: long non-coding RNA, 675 nt
Filed under: Homo sapiens (human)
Lineage: Eukaryota; Metazoa; Chordata; Mammalia; Primates; Hominidae
Description: non-protein coding LINC02020:16
Source: RNAcentral
AAUUGAACUUGCAGGCUUGGAAAUAUCUCUGGGUUCUGCUUGAAUUCUUGCCCUGGCUCUUGGUGAAGGAUCGGCCUGCUGGAUCUGAGUCAUCCACCUAUAAGAGGGACAACACCACACAUUGGUCGCUGCUCUCAAGCCCCUGGAAUACCACCCCACUUGGCUUCUCCUGGUAACAGUGGCUGCCUUUGCUUGCCUGUCUCCAACUCCUCCCAAGAGCAUUGCUGACUAUACCACCCACAUAAACAAAAACUUUUUGGGAGUCCUCCAGAAUUUUUAAGAGUUAUCUAAACUAUUGCCUUUAAUGACCAGGAACUCCAAUUUGAGAAGUUACCCUACGUUAAGCCAACAGCAGCCUGGCUCCUUCAUCCUGUGCAGUAUGGGACAGAGCUGGGUCCUUGUUGUCAUCAGCCAGACAAGCACACAUUAAAGCCCACCUUAGCCAUUGGCAUUACAGCUUUAAAAGCAGCUCCAUCCUACCAUGCUGUCACUCUACUCAAUCACGUGAUCUUAACGACCAGCUCUACAUAUCCUCUCUCCAUGCCCCCACCACCAUCCCCCACCAACAAAUCCGGUAAUCUAUCUCUGUCAAUAGUCCUGCAGUGAAUUCCGAAUAAGUUUUUCUCUUCCCUGGCCUGCCGUUUACGUAGUACCCUGGAUGAAUCUAUACUUACU